This 253-nucleotide ribosomal RNA is filed under the name uncultured bacterium. RNAcentral describes it as "partial 16S ribosomal RNA". It matches the Rfam family "Bacterial small subunit ribosomal RNA", at positions 524 to 776 of the family's 1533-position model. The record is from RNAcentral.
UACGUAGGGUGCGAGCGUUGCCCGGAUUUAUUGGGCGUAAAGGGCGCGUAGGCGGCUCGACACGUUCGUUGUGAAAUCGCCCGGCUCAACUGGGCGGGGUCAGCGAAUACGGUCGAGCUUGAGCAAGCUAGGGGGCAAUGGAAUUCCCGGUGUAGUGGUGGAAUGCGUAGAUAUCGGGAGGAACACCAGUGGCGAAGGCGGUUGCCUGGGGCUUUGCUGACGCUGAUGCGCGAAAGCGUGGGGAGCAAACGGG